RNAcentral lists this ribosomal RNA (253 nucleotides) under uncultured bacterium. RNAcentral describes it as "partial 16S ribosomal RNA". It matches the Rfam family "Bacterial small subunit ribosomal RNA", at positions 524 to 776 of the family's 1533-position model. The record is from RNAcentral.
UACGAAGGGGGCUAGCGUUGCUCGGAAUUACUGGGCGUAAAGGGCGCGUAGGCGGAUGUUUAAGUCAGAGGUGAAAGCCCAGGGCUCAACCUUGGAACUGCCUUUGAUACUGGACAUCUUGAGUGUGGGAGAGGUGAGUGGAACUCCGAGUGUAGAGGUGAAAUUCGUAGAUAUUCGGAAGAACACCGGUGGCGAAGGCGACUCACUGGCCCAUUACUGACGCUGAGGCUCGAAAGCGUGGGGAGCAAACAGG